UUCUCUUAAAAGGAAGAGGCAAUUUUUCAUCUUCUGAAGUCAUGAGUGGUAUUCGUGGAAUAAAUACAUGUCUAUUUUUAAAAUCACCGCUAGAUAUUGUUGCACUGAUAACAUGAGGUUUAAAAUCAUUACAUAUUAAGCGUGUCCCAUUGCAUAAACCUUCACAAGGAUUUAAAUUUCUUAAUAACAUAAUCGGACAAUUUUUCUUCAAAGUUAAUUUGUAUGGAGGCAAACCAGUAGGAUUUAAAGUGUGUAAGAAAUCUUCAUAUUCACUUUGAUCGUUUGGAUCAAUAGUUUCAUCUAUAGCAAUAUACACUUUUUCAGUGUUUGGAAAUUGAGAGAUCAACAUGUCAUUUAUUUCAUCAACAAAAUCAUUUUUAGUUGUUAGAAUAGCACGAGAAGUAAUAAACGAAGUUUUUGAACAUCAUGUGUAUAAAUCAGGAUAAGUAUUUCUAAAGAGAAGAUUUAGAGAUUCUUUUUCAGAAGUAAAAGGAAUAAUGAGAGAAUGAGGAAUUUCAAAUUUUCCAUGGUCAUUUGUUUUUUCUUUUCCAUCACCAAUUCUCAUUAAAUAUUCACAAAAUUUAGGAUCUUUAGUUGCACGCAUAUUCUU
This 610-nucleotide long non-coding RNA is filed under the name Solanum tuberosum (potato). Its description in RNAcentral is "long non-coding RNA (STUB_LNC000824)". Lineage: Eukaryota; Viridiplantae; Streptophyta; Magnoliopsida; Solanales; Solanaceae. The record is from RNAcentral.